This is a microRNA precursor of Vitis vinifera (wine grape), 92 nucleotides long. It matches the Rfam family "mir-399 microRNA precursor family". Rfam says of the family: mir-399 was identified in both Arabidopsis thaliana and Oryza sativa computationally and was later experimentally verified. mir-399 is thought to target mRNAs coding for a phosphatase transporter. The mature sequence is excised from the 3' arm of the hairpin. The record is from Rfam. Lineage: Eukaryota; Viridiplantae; Streptophyta; Magnoliopsida; Vitales; Vitaceae.
UGAGGAAUAACAGUGCAAUCCUCCUUUGGCAGAAAGAUCAUGCACAUGCAUACUUCUGUUUUGCCAAAGGAGAAUUGCCCUGCCAUUCGCUC